This 460-nucleotide long non-coding RNA is filed under the name Mytilus galloprovincialis (Mediterranean mussel). The record is from RNAcentral. Lineage: Eukaryota; Metazoa; Mollusca; Bivalvia; Mytilida; Mytilidae.
UUAUAUAUGUAACCCCUAUAAAAAUAUCAAUAUGUGUCAAUAAAUAGUAAUAUUAUAGAUUUUUUUUCGAAAUUGAAGAAGGCGCCAUUUUCGCCUAUUUCUCUAUUACGUCUAUUGGUCUGCUAUAAUUAUUAGAUGAUUCUAAAAAAUUUCCGCCUCGAUUUUUUUUAUACUUUCAUUUUAUAUUCUUUGGUACAUAAUGCAGAUGUUAUGAAAAAAUUAGGCACUUCUAUCGAGUAGAAAUGGAGAACGGGCAUCUUUAUUUUGUAUGUCCCCACUAUGGGGGCGUGGUCCUCCUUUCACUUGUUUCUGAAGUACACGAUAGCUAUUCAUCUCUCGAAAUUAAUUUUCAACUAAAUAUCAUUGAAACAAAACGAAUAUAUUUUAAGACAUCAAUAAAUUUUAAGUGCUACUGAUUUUUUUAACAGAAUAUGCCGGAAUCGACCCCAUCCGAUGUUGU